RNAcentral lists this ribosomal RNA (492 nucleotides) under uncultured bacterium. RNAcentral describes it as "partial 16S ribosomal RNA". It matches the Rfam family "Bacterial small subunit ribosomal RNA", at positions 29 to 507 of the family's 1533-position model. The record is from RNAcentral.
AGUGAACGCUGGCGGUAGGCCUAACACAUGCAAGUCGAACGGAAGCACAGUAAGAGCUUGCUCUUACGGGUGGCGAGUGGCGGAUGGGUGAGGAAUACAUCGGCAUCUACUUUUUCGUGGGGGAUAACGUAGAGAAACUUCCGCUAAUACCGCAUAUGACCUACGGGUGAAAGCAGGGGAUCUUCGGACCUUGCGCGAUUGAAUGAGCCGAUGUCGGAUUAGCUAGUUGGCGGGGUAAAGGCCCACCAAGGCGACGAUCCGUAGCUGAUCUGAGAGGAUGAUCGGCCACACUGGAACUGAGACACGGUCCAGACUCCUACGGGAGGCAGCAGUAGGGAAUAUUGGACAAUGGGCGCAAGCCUGAUCCAGCCAUACCGCGUGAGUGAAGAAGGCCUUCGGAUUGUAAAGCCCUUUUGUUGGGAAAGAACAGCAGCAGAUUAAUACCCCGCUGUUCUGACGGUACCCAAAGAAUAAGCACCGGCUAACUUCGUG